This 610-nucleotide ribosomal RNA is filed under the name uncultured Anaerovibrio sp. RNAcentral's name for it is "bacterial SSU rRNA". It matches the Rfam family "Bacterial small subunit ribosomal RNA", at positions 67 to 670 of the family's 1533-position model. Lineage: Bacteria; Bacillati; Bacillota; Negativicutes; Selenomonadales; Selenomonadaceae. The record is from RNAcentral.
CGGUAACAGGGGAGCUUGCUCCCGCUGACGAGUGGCGAACGGGUGAGUAAUGCAUCGGAACGUGCCGAAUAGUGGGGGAUAACGCACCGAAAGGUGUGCUAAUACCGCAUACGCCCUGAGGGGGAAAGUGGGGGACCGCAAGGCCUCACGCUAAUCGAGCGGCCGAUGUCGGAUUAGCUAGUUGGUGGGGUAAAGGCUCACCAAGGCGACGAUCCGUAGCGGGUCUGAGAGGAUGAUCCGCCACACUGGGACUGAGACACGGCCCAGACUCCUACGGGAGGCAGCAGUGGGGAAUAUUCCGCAAUGGACGAAAGUCUGACGGAGCAACGCCGCGUGAGUGAAGAAGGUUUUCGGAUCGUAAAGCUCUUUCGUUAGGGACGAACGUGCUCUUUGUGAAUAAUGAGGAGUAAUGACGGUACCUAAAUAAGAAGCCACGGCUAACUACGUGCCAGCAGCCGCGGUAAUACGUAGGUGGCAAGCGUUGUCCGGAAUUAUUGGGCGUAAAGCGCGCGCAGGCGGGAUAUCAAGUCUGUCUUAAAAGUGCGAGGCUCAACCUCGUGAGGGGACGGAAACUGGUAUUCUUGAGUGUCGGAGAGGAAAGUGGAAUUCC